GAUGAACGCUGGCGGCGUGCCUAAUACAUGCAAGUCGAGCGAACAGACGAGGAGCUUGCUCCUCUGACGUUAGCGGCGGACGGGUGAGUAACACGUGGAUAACCUACCUAUAAGACUGGGAUAACUUCGGGAAACCGGAGCUAAUACCGGAUAAUAUAUUGAACCGCAUGGUUCAAUAGUGAAAGACGGUUUUGCUGUCACUUAUAGAUGGAUCCGCGCCGCAUUAGCUAGUUGGUAAGGUAACGGCUUACCAAGGCAACGAUGCGUAGCCGACCUGAGAGGGUGAUCGGCCACACUGGAAGUGAGACACGGUCCAGACUCCUACGGGAGGCAGCAGUAGGGAAUCUGCCGCAAUGGGCGAAAGCCUGACGGAGCAACGCCGCGUGAGUGAUGAAGGUCUUCGGAUCGUAAAACUCUGUUAUGAGGGAAGAACAAAUGUGUAAGUAACUAUGCACGUCUUGACGGUACCUAAUCAGAAAGCCACGGCUAACUACGUG
Molecule: ribosomal RNA, 497 nt
Filed under: uncultured bacterium
Lineage: Bacteria
Description: partial 16S ribosomal RNA
Rfam family: Bacterial small subunit ribosomal RNA
Source: RNAcentral